This 371-nucleotide ribosomal RNA is filed under the name uncultured organism. RNAcentral describes it as "bacterial SSU rRNA". It matches the Rfam family "Bacterial small subunit ribosomal RNA", at positions 527 to 896 of the family's 1533-position model. The record is from RNAcentral.
CGGGGGGGCAAGCGUUGUUCGGAAUUACUGGGCGUAAAGGGUGCGUAGGCGGCUCUCUAAGUCGGAUGUGAAAACUCUGGGCUCAACCCAGAGCCUGCAUCCGAAACUGGAGGGCUAGGGUUCUGGAGGGGUAAGCGGAAUUCCUGGUGUAGCGGUGAAAUGCGUAGAUAUCAGGAGGAACACCGGUGGCGAAGGCGGCUUUCUGGACAGAUACCGACGCUGAGGCACGAAAGCUAGGGGAGCAAACAGGAUUAGAUACCCUGGUAGUCCUAGCCCUAAACUAUGGAUACUUGCUGUGGGGGGGAUUGAAGCCCCUUGUGGCGAAGCUAACGCAUUAAGUAUCCCGCCUGGGGAGUACGGUCGCAAGGCUG